This 492-nucleotide ribosomal RNA is filed under the name uncultured bacterium. RNAcentral describes it as "partial 16S ribosomal RNA". It matches the Rfam family "Bacterial small subunit ribosomal RNA", at positions 29 to 507 of the family's 1533-position model. The record is from RNAcentral.
AGUGAACGCUGGCGGUAGGCCUAACACAUGCAAGUCGAACGGCAGCACAGUAAGAGCUUGCUCUUACGGGUGGCGAGUGGCGGACGGGUGAGGAAUACAUCGGAAUCUACUUUUUCGUGGGGGAUAACGUAGGGAAACUUACGCUAAUACCGCAUACGACCUACGGGUGAAAGCAGGGGAUCUUCGGACCUUGCGCGAUUGAAUGGGCCGAUGUCGGAUUAGCGAGUUGGCGGGGUAAAGGCCCACCAAGGCGACGAUCCGUAGCUGGUCUGAGAGGAUGAUCAGCCACACUGGAACUGAGACACGGUCCAGACUCCUACGGGAGGCAGCAGUGGGGAAUAUUGGACAAUGGGCGCAAGCCUGAUCCAGCCAUACCGCGUGGGUGAAGAAGGCCUUCGGGUUGUAAAGCCCUUUUGUUGGGAAAGAAAAGCAGCAGGUUAAUACCCCGCUGUUCUGACGGUACCCAAAGAAUAAGCACCGGCUAACUUCGUG